UGCUCAUUGCCAUGACAGUAACAACCAAAUU
Molecule: non-coding RNA, 31 nt
Filed under: Mus musculus (house mouse)
Lineage: Eukaryota; Metazoa; Chordata; Mammalia; Rodentia; Muridae
Source: RNAcentral